AACAAUAAGACUAUCAACAAUAAAGCAUAAUAAUUAUUUGAUUAAAAUUUAAAAAUGUCAAAUAAAUUUGUAAUUGCUUUGUUGUUGGUAGUUGUGUACCUUGUAACUGUUCAAGGUCAGAAUAUUACCUAUAAUGCAGACUCAGGUGAAGUCGGCGUGUCUCAUGAAGACUGCUACAAUUAUUGUACCAAUGAUAGUAAAUUGCCCGCAUGGCUUAUAAAUUGGUUGUGUGAAUGGCUUUGUCAUAUGUUCAAUCAUGUCCGAAUCUUCUGAUGGUUUUGGAUCAAGGAAGAAAUUGUCAAAUUGGAGCUUCUGCAGUUUUGGGAAUUAGCGUAUUUUUGGAGAAGUUUGAUGACUAUUUUGACGGAGUAACUUGAAACGAGGCUAAUUAAUUGUCUUUUAGCCUUAUUUAUUCUUGGAGGACACAUGGAGGCUUGGGAAGGGCGAAAGAAAUUUGGAGUUUCUUCACCUAUAAAACUUCUCAAAUUUGUGAGUGUGCAUGAGAUUGAGGAACGGCAGGCUAACCAGAUAUUAUGUUAGAAAACCAGUAAGGAGAAACACCGUAAGAAUGGUUAAUCCUAGGAACAACAAUCCAAAUGGAGAACAACCUUAUAACACAACAAAGGAAGGCACAGUCACUGCAACUUUGACUACAGCAAUCGUAUCUACGACAAGCACAACUGUCAUGUCGUCGAAUACACAAAGUGGGCCAACGAAUGCCCAACCGAUAUGACAGAGUCACCCUAUGAAUCCUAGACCAUUUGGGAAUAUUCCUUAUGCGCCUCAUAUGCCCAGUUUCACAAUGCUCAUGAACAUCCAUAUGGCAUGACUUUUUCAAUGAUGGCAAGUUUGCAUAACAAUGCAUCAAUAUUUGAUGAAAAUACAACAUUUUCAUUUUCGCCA
Molecule: long non-coding RNA, 903 nt
Organism: Vicia villosa (hairy vetch)
Lineage: Eukaryota; Viridiplantae; Streptophyta; Magnoliopsida; Fabales; Fabaceae
Exons: 4
Source: RefSeq, a predicted model, not a curated record